RNAcentral lists this long non-coding RNA (943 nucleotides) under Pan troglodytes (chimpanzee). RNAcentral describes it as "lincRNA". Lineage: Eukaryota; Metazoa; Chordata; Mammalia; Primates; Hominidae. The record is from RNAcentral.
UCAGUUUACCUCAUUCAACCUUCACUGCAAUCAAGGAGGAAGCUUUAUCAUCCCUAUCUGACAGAACUGAGGACAUGGCUGAAGGAGAUUAAAAGCACAUUUGGAAAUACCGCUUUAGAUACUCUACAAGUUAACCUUGGAAUAAACCACACUAUCGGAGAGCAUUGUCACUCACUGACGGAUUUCUUUCAUUCCUCUCUGCUUUGGCAUUAGGCAGUUAGCCACAUCAAGAGACUUCAUAAGAAACAGCCCUGUAACUCAUUUGUUGCUUUCCUGUAAGAAUGUUGUCAAGGACAUUAUUUACUUCAUUACAAAGGGUCUUCUUUGUGCUGGAGAAACUUCUCUCAGAUCUCUGUGCCAGGAAGAAUGGUGUUUCUCCCAAACACUGGGUUUGAUAUUACAGAUAGUAUAAAUUAUAUAUCCAGGCACAUCCUCCUUUAGUGAGUAUAUACAAACUGGCUUCACUUCAUUAUUUUCAUCUUCCAACUUCUCCAUAAUAAUAUUUACUUUUAAAAAUGUUCUUAACAAUGAAUAUGACCAAGACAAUUUGAGGAAACCAAUCAUAAACUUUGUGUCAAUAUAGUAAUCAUGUUUCCUGCAGGGAGAUACCACUGUUCCCACUAAAACAGAACACAACAAAAGGAGGCAGGAGAGAAAUGAAUUACUUAGGACCUGUCUAGGUUGAAAAGGCAAACUAGAAGUGGGGCACACCUAACUUGUUUAAAAAGACUUUGUCAACUAUUAUUUGUGUACUCUUGGCAUUUCUGUGUUCUCCUCAUUCCUAUUUCAUUCCUAUUCCCCUUUAAUAUUUCCUUUACAUACCUGAUACCUUCCCUCCCAAAAAUGGUGUGUGUCUAUGUAGUUCCUUGAUGAUUUUGUCAACGAAUAAUAAACCCUGGGUUUUCGAUAAGGAGGUGAAAAGAAAGGGCUCUGCUUGAUUCUG